GACGAACGCUGGCGGCGUGCCUAAUACAUGCAAGUAGGACGCACAGUUUAUACCGUAGCUUGCUACACCAUAAACUGUGAGUUGCGAACGGGUGAGUAACGCGUAGGUAACCUGCCUGGUAGCGGGGGAUAACUAUUGGAAACGAUAGCUAAUACCGCAUAAUAUUGAUUAUUGCAUGAUAAUUGAUUGAAAGAUGCUAUUGCAUCACUACCAGAUGGACCUGCGUUGUAUUAGCUAGUAGGUGAGGUAACGGCUCACCUAGGCGACGAUACAUAGCCGACCUGAGAGGGUGAUCGGCCACACUGGGACUGAGACACGGCCCAGACUCCUACGGGAGGCAGCAGUAGGGAAUCUUCGGCAAUGGACGAAAGUCUGACCGAGCAACGCCGCGUGAGUGAAGAAGGUUUUCGGAUCGUAAAGCUCUGUUGUAAGAGAAGAACGGGUGUGAGAGUGGAAAGUUCACACUGUGACGGGAUCUUACCAGAAAAGGACGGCUAACUACGU
Molecule: ribosomal RNA, 504 nt
Filed under: uncultured bacterium
Lineage: Bacteria
Description: partial 16S ribosomal RNA
Rfam family: Bacterial small subunit ribosomal RNA
Source: RNAcentral